RNAcentral lists this ribosomal RNA (587 nucleotides) under uncultured bacterium. Its description in RNAcentral is "partial 16S ribosomal RNA". It matches the Rfam family "Bacterial small subunit ribosomal RNA", at positions 355 to 1375 of the family's 1533-position model. The record is from RNAcentral.
UGGGGAAUUUUGGGCAAUGGGCGAAAGCCUGAUCCAGCAAUGCCGCGUGUGUGAAGAAGGCCUUCGGGUUGUAAAGCACUUUUGUCCGGAAAGAAAUCCUUGGCUCUAAUACAGUCGGGGGAUGACGGUACCGGAAGAAUAAGCACCGGCUAACUACGUGCCAGCAGCCGCGGUAAUACGUAGGGUGCAAGCGUUAAUCGGAAUUACUGGGCGUAAAGCGUGCGCAGGCGGUUUGCUAAGACCGAUGUGAGAUCCCCGGGCUCAACCUGGGAACUGCAUUGGUGACUGGCAGGCUAGAGUAUGGCAGAGGGGGGUAGAAUUCCACGUGUAGCAGUGAAAUGCGUAGAGAUGUGGAGGAAUACCGAUGGCGAAGGCAGCCCCCUGGGCCAAUACUGACGCUCAUGCACGAAAGCGUGGGGAGCAAACAGGAUUAGAUACCCUGGUAGUCCACGCCCUAAACGAUGUCAACUAGUUGUUGGGGAUUCAUUUCCUUAGUAACGUAGCUAACGCGUGAAGUUGACCGCCUGGGGAGUACGGUCGCAAGAUUAAAACCCCAAAUUGAAUUGACGGGGUCAUAGCUGUUUCCU